This is a long non-coding RNA of Raphanus sativus (radish), 2581 nucleotides long. RefSeq lists it as uncharacterized. The transcript is spliced from 3 exons. Lineage: Eukaryota; Viridiplantae; Streptophyta; Magnoliopsida; Brassicales; Brassicaceae. The record is from RefSeq and is a predicted model, not a curated record.
CGAAAAUAAAUUGUGUGUAUAGGAUCGUGACCAAAAAUUCCCGUGAUAAUUCGUGAAUACGUUAUAGACACAGUUUCGUUCCUCUCUCUUCUAUCUCUCUAAAACACACUCUCUCGUUUUUAUCUCUAGUCGCCGUUGAAGUGUUGUUCUUCCGACCGACGUCGGUGGGCUUCCAUAACCACGACGUCGGUUGGAUUCCUUCUCUCCUUUGUAAUCUAGUAGUUUCUUUGUCUAGUUUGUUUCAGUUUGUUUUGAAAGUUAUGAAAUUUCAAUUCUCAGAUCUAGAUCUAGAAAUUAAUCUUUGCGAUGGGUUUGAUGGUCUUGGUGGUUUGGCGUUAUUCUUCAUUGUGGUGGGUUCCGGUUAUUAUCUUGAGUAUCUGGUGUAUUUUGCCUUGGGUCUCUCCCAUCGAGGUCUUGGUCGCCUCCAUCUCUGCCUCCAAUAUGUUUGUAAGUGAUUUUUGGUUUCAAUGGUUCACGAUACUAGUGUUGAUGAUGAGUCCAGAAGGUGUGCUUAUCCUUCGUUGGUGUUGCAACGGUGUGGUUACUUCGGUGAUCUCCUUUGUGUGCUUGCAUGUAAGAUAACCGGCUCGAUUCGAAGGAUUUGGGGCUUUGGCUCUUUGGCAUCAGGUCGUAGGAGACGACAGGUUAACCGUUCUCUUCUUUGCGUCCUCCUUGGUUGGGUCAAGUGCUAUUGCUAGUGGCUCCAGUUGUGGGUUCAAGUGGUGUGGUUUGGAGCAUAAUAAUGAGCAAUGGCUUGAACUUCCUCAAUAAAGUUUGAUCUUUGAUGUUUGCUUCCGUCUCCUUCUCGUCUCGUUUAAUUUAACGCUUCAGUUCGUGUUUUGUUUUAAAUGAUUUGUUCUGGUUAUUGAAAUUCCUAACUUUAGUCUUUUAUUUUGGUUCCGGGGAUUGGGUUGUUUUCCGCCGGCUAACGCUUCCAGGGACUGUUCUUUUGUCCGCUGGCUCUGUUUCCGGAAGCCAUGUGGCUUGCCGGCUCUUGUCAAAAACUUUGUGUAUUGCGUUGGUAAAUUAAUAUAGGGUCUGAAUGGGGGAGCAGAACGUUGACAGAUCUCCUGCACUUUAAUAUUUUAUGUACUGCAAAUGCGAAUCACACUUUUAAAAUCUUCCGGACAAAAAAAACAGGAGAACUGCCAAAUGCAAUUAUUUUUGUCUUUAUCUGUGUAAAAACAGAUAUCCUGCAUGUCCUUCUGUCCUCUCCACUUUUGAGGCAGUUCGCUAAUUCCACAAUUUUCUUAACCAAUAAAAUCUUUUUACAUAAAUAAUUAAUUCUCAAAAUUUUGGUUAUUUCCCUAUAAAUCAAGUCAGCUACCACUUUACUAGUUUCAUACUUCACGAUCAAAAAAGAUGUUCUAAAGAACAAAAAAUACUUUGUACUGUGGCAAUUAAAAAAAAGUAUUCUAGUUCUAUGUUUUGUUGUAUUGGUAUAUCGUGAGUUUCAUUCCUUCUCAACGUAAGCUUUCAUUCUAAUUUAAAUCGUAUAUACUUUGUCCAUUAAUAUAUAAUAUAUUGUAUAGGUAACUGGAAGAAAUUUUUGUUGCUGUAGGGUGGAAAUUAAAAAGGGUGCUGAAACUUUGUGCUGUGUUGUGUUGUGUUGGGUCUCAGUCAUUAUCUUCAACCUAAGGUGGAAGAAGUAAUAAAAAGUGCUGUGAUUUUGUGCUGUGUUGUGUUCUACCUCGGUCAUUAUCUCCAGCCUGAGAUAUGACAUCAAAUCAUCGACAAAAUGCAACACUUUCUGACGAUGAAGAUAUAAAUCUGUCCAGAGACACGUCGGCACGGGUAAGUAGUUAAUAUGUUUUUAAAAAAAAUUAGAAUAGUUAAUACUAUACUAAAAUGGUUGAAAUUUUUGUAAAUUGUUAGAAUGUAAACAAUUUUAAAUGGAAUGCGAACCGAGAACGAGUAUUUAUUGAGUUGUACGAUCGAGCAAUUGCCAUGAGCGAUUACCGUUUCAAAGAUCCCACACCAGCUGGUAGAGAGUUUCUCGUUGAUAAAUUUAACCAAAAGUUUAAUAUUAACGUAACCUACCGGUUCUUCAAAGAAAACUCGAUCAACUUAAUAGAAAAUACAAGAAGUACAAGCAUCUUAUGAAAAAUUCUACGGACAUUUCGGUUGAUCCUACUACAUCUGUGAUAUCUGCGUCUGAUUCAUGGUGGAGAGAUCGUGAAGUAAGUAUACACAAUCUGUUACACCCAUAAGAUAUUUAAGAAAUAACAAUUCUGUAAAAUUUAUAGACUAAAAACUACAUAAUCUUAUUAACAAGUAGAUAGGAUUGUGAAAUCAUUUAAACGAAAGCCGCUGGAGUUGUGGGAUGUGAUGCAACGAUGUUUCAUAUUAUAUGACGUCCAAUCACAGUCUCAAUACUCUUUGCACCAAAGAAGAGAAGAGUUGCUGAAUGAUGGUCAAAAUAAUGAUGAAGACCAUUUGUACUCUGAAACAUAUGAUGGUGAUACACAACACACGCAUGUUCCCGAGACACAAGAAAAUGAAGAAGUCUAUCGCGUAAAUAUUGAUGAUGAAACGCGUCAGUCAAAUCAAUUCAACCGUGAGAAUUUACGUCAGAAUUCUU